This is a long non-coding RNA of Salvelinus fontinalis (brook trout), 384 nucleotides long. RefSeq lists it as uncharacterized. The transcript is spliced from 3 exons. NCBI's taxonomy places the organism in Eukaryota, Metazoa, Chordata, Actinopteri, Salmoniformes, Salmonidae. The record is from RefSeq and is a predicted model, not a curated record.
UUUUCGAAACAUCCAUGAGUCUAUUGUGUGUCCGUUUGUUUCAGAUCUCGUCUCUGGAGCAGGAGGUGAAGGAGGAGUACCAGUCUAGUGUGUUCCAGCACAGCCUGCAGGACAGAACAACUGAACUGGACCUGGAGAGGGUGGCCAGGGAGGCGUGAGAAGGGUCUGAUGAGUGAGUAUAAGGCCGCUCGGACCACAGCCCUGCAGACUUCUGUGGCCUUGGAGGAGCAGCAGCAGCAGAGAUGCUCAGGGAAGAACAACACUCUGAAUGCCAAAGACAAGCUACAGACCGGAGACUCAGUGGUCCUCAGCUCAGAGGACGAUGUAGAGGAGGACGAGGGACGGGGUGGGACAGUCCAGAGCCAAAAGAGACAACUCGCAAAA